RNAcentral lists this long non-coding RNA (635 nucleotides) under Homo sapiens (human). Its description in RNAcentral is "long independently transcribed non-coding RNA 1851 (LINC01851)". Lineage: Eukaryota; Metazoa; Chordata; Mammalia; Primates; Hominidae. The record is from RNAcentral.
CAGUGGACUCGGGUUAUAAUUACCAACAGAGGAGAGAAUAACUAUAAGUUAUUUUGAUGUAAAAAGCAUAUUAUCCUAAGCCAACAUAAUAACACAGUUUUUAUGAAGCACAAUAAUUACUUUGAAGACUCACAGAAGUGCAUUUUUCUAAAAGAAGGAGAUUCUCAUACAGAAACAGAUUAACAGAAACAGAAACAGCAACACUAGAGAACAGCAAAAUAGUAACAUUUCAAAUAGUAACAUUUCAAGAAAAUAUAUACACCUUCACAGUAUGUGGUGGUAUCCACUUACUGUCUACUGCCUCCAUAACUCCUAAAGUCUUCUGAAGAUUUAUUAAUGCUUUGAAUAUAUGAGCCACCGUUUCUUUUCACAGCCUUUUCACAACUGGGAAUUCUUUAGAGAAAGGCAAUCUUACCUCAUUUACUUACUUCAUCAGUAAUGCCAUUACUAUGCCUACCUAAGAAGAAAAUAUAUCAUGUGGCAGAGGACUAGAAAGAAAAAACAACAACAAAAGGCUGUGAAGAUUUGAUCAUAUGCCUACGUGUGUGGUGAAUACAAUAUUUCUUUAAUCGCAAUCAGGAAUAUAAAUCUUAUUUUGAUGCUAUGACAUAAUAAAGUGCAUUAUUUUCCUGAAA